Molecule: long non-coding RNA, 1443 nt
Organism: Nothobranchius furzeri (turquoise killifish)
Lineage: Eukaryota; Metazoa; Chordata; Actinopteri; Cyprinodontiformes; Nothobranchiidae
Source: RefSeq, a predicted model, not a curated record
UAUGGCACCUCAUCAGCCCUGCUUGAAUGAAUUUCAUCCUCUUGUGGAUGAUAUUUUUUAGUGGUGGCCCCACUCUUCUCUCUGGCUGCCUCAGCCUUUUAAGCCCUGGGCUGAGGCUGAGCGACCCCCACUAAAAGGAGACAUGUUGGGUGUGUCCAUUGGUUGAGCUAACCAGUGUGGCGUAAACCCAUCCAGCUGCGCUUUAUUCCAAUAGCAGCUCGCUUAAGGGCUAAUACUAGACGAAAUAGAACGUUGGUUACGUAUUGUAACCCCAGAUUCUAUGAGUCUAGUCGCAGCCCUUAAGCCACUUGGCCACACUGGUUCUGUUAGGACUAAGAGCCAUCGGAGGCGAACAGUGGAGUCGCUCCACUUAUAUAACCCACAAGGGGUGCCCACGUGGUGGGCGUACAUUUAAGCUCUUCAUGAUUGGCUGAUGCUGAGAUCACCCUUCCAAUAGCAGCUCGCUUAAGGGCUGCGACUAGACUCAUAGAAUCUGGGGUUACAAUACGUAACCAACGCUUUUAAGCUUAAUAUAUUACCUUUACUUAUGACCAAUAAGAUGUGAUAUUCUAUAUAAAUAUAGGAUAUCAACCUUAUUGGUCUUUGAAUGUUUAAUCAGAAGAUUCUAGGAUUCUUUGCUUUUUCAGUGAUCAUAACACACUUUGUAUUAAUUUAGACAAAGUCAAGUUUAUAAAAAGUAAGAAAUUUAUUUUCUAAACAAAUUAAAAACAAGACAAGUUAUAAAUAAGACGAAUGUGACAGAUGGAUAUAAGUGGAUGGGAUGUGAUGUUUGAUGAUGGAAUGGUGUGUGAUGUUUAUCAGAACCUUGUAUCUAGAAGAAACUAUGUUCUGGGUGUGAAAAGAAUUUGGUCUGCAUUAAACUAGGAAGUUGGUCCUUAACAAAAUGGCGUCUGACGCAAUCUAUGUGUUCUACGUACCCCUGAGGAGACUCCCUUUUGGAUCCGAGAUGUCGGGGGGUCGGGUGAGACCAAGGUACCGAAGUUCAUAGAAAAGACCGCAGUGCGACCAGGUCGGUCCAGAGUCGUCUCCCGGAUCACAACAGCCUUUAUAAAAGAAGAAGAAAUUGCCAGGUUCUCCUCCUCUCUGGAUUAUUCCCUCACCACGCCCAAUAGGACUCUGGUCUGCUCACACGCCACAUCAUCCAUUCACCUCUGACCGACCCGCUCUCCAACGACUACCCGCUCCAGCUCUGGAACCGCUCACCUGGAUACCCCCGGCUCGUUACCCAUCCCCUCACUCGCUGAACUCAUUUUACCCCAAUAAGUCCCCUCACUCAUUAUCUGUUGGACUUAAAGUUCUCAGGACUCACCUCUAAUCUGCUCUCCCCUCCAGACGCUGCGUUUCCCGUUUCCCCUGUCCACUGGAAUUCCCAGUGUGCCCUCAGUUACCAUUAUCCACAAAUAAAAAUAUUAUUUUUCAUUA